CUACGGGUUGCUCCAGUGGGGAAUAUUGCACAAUGGGCGAAAGCCUGAUGCAGCAACGCCGCGUGAGGGAAGACGGUUUUCGGAUUGUAAACCUUUGUCUUCGGUGACGAUAAUGACGGUAGCCGAGGAGGAAGCCACGGCUAACUACGUGCCAGCAGCCGCGGUAAUACGUAGGUGGCGAGCGUUAUCCGGAAUUACUGGGUGUAAAGGGAGCGCAGGCGGGAUAGCAAGUCAGCGGUGAAAAUUAUGGGCUUAACCCAUAAACUGCCGUUGAAACUGUUAUUCUUGAGUGGAGUAGAGGCAAGCGGAAUUCCGAGUGUAGCGGUGAAAUGCGUAGAUAUUCGGAGGAACACCAGUGGCGAAGGCGGCUUGCUGGGCUCUAACUGACGCUGAGGCUCGAAAGUGUGGGGAGCAAACAGGAUUAGAUACCCGGGUAGUC
RNAcentral lists this ribosomal RNA (439 nucleotides) under uncultured bacterium. RNAcentral describes it as "partial 16S ribosomal RNA". It matches the Rfam family "Bacterial small subunit ribosomal RNA", at positions 339 to 795 of the family's 1533-position model. The record is from RNAcentral.